AUUGAACGCUGGCGGCGUGCUUAACACAUGCAAGUCGAGCGGUAACAGGUGUAGCAAUACAUGCUGACGAGCGGCGAACGGGUGAGUAAUGCUUCGGAAUCUUCCUCGUAGUGGGGAAUAACCUGGGGAAACUCAGGCUGAUACCGCAUACGAACUACGGUUGAAAGCAGGGGAUCGCAAGACCUUGCGCUAUGAGAUGAGCCGAAGUCGGAUUAGCUAGUUGGUGAGGUAAAGGCUCACCAAGGCGACGAUCCGUAGCUGGUCUGAGAGGACGACCAGCCACACUGGGACUGAGACACGGCCCAGACUCCUACGGGAGGCAGCAGUGGGGAAUAUUGGACAAUGGGGGCAACCCUGAUCCAGCGACGCCGCGUGUGUGAAGAAGGCCUGCGGGUUGUAAAGCACUUUUAGUGGGGAUGAAAAGCCAAGGGUUAAUACCCUUUGGUCUUGACCUAACCCAAAGAAAAAGCACCGGCUAACUCUGUGCCAGCAGCCGC
RNAcentral lists this ribosomal RNA (497 nucleotides) under uncultured bacterium. RNAcentral describes it as "bacterial SSU rRNA". It matches the Rfam family "Bacterial small subunit ribosomal RNA", at positions 30 to 518 of the family's 1533-position model. The record is from RNAcentral.